Molecule: ribosomal RNA, 882 nt
Filed under: uncultured bacterium
Lineage: Bacteria
Description: bacterial SSU rRNA
Rfam family: Bacterial small subunit ribosomal RNA
Source: RNAcentral
CAGUCGACGAGUUCUCGUUGAUGAUCGGUGCUUGCACCGAGAUUCAACAUGGAACGAGUGGCGGACGGGUGAGUAACACGUGGGUAACCUGCCCUUAAGUGGGGGAUAACAUUUGGAAACAGAUGCUAAUACCGCAUAGAUCCAAGAACCGCAUGGUUCUUGGCUGAAAGAUGGCGUAAGCUAUCGCUUUUGGAUGGACCCGCGGCGUAUUAGCUAGUUGGUGAGGUAAUGGCUCACCAAGGCGAUGAUACGUAGCCGAACUGAGAGGUUGAUCGGCCACAUUGGGACUGAGACACGGCCCAAACUCCUACGGGAGGCAGCAGUAGGGAAUCUUCCACAAUGGACGCAAGUCUGAUGGAGCAACGCCGCGUGAGUGAAGAAGGCUUUCGGGUCGUAAAACUCUGUUGUUGGAGGAGAAUGGUCGGCAGAGUAACUGUUGCCGGCGUGACGGUAUCCAACCAGAAAGCCACGGCUAACUACGUGCCAGCAGCCGCGGUAAUACGUAGGUGGCAAGCGUUAUCCGGAUUUAUUGGGCGUAAAGCGAGCGCAGGCGGUUUUUUAAGUCUGAUGUGAAAGCCCUCGGCUUAACCGAGGAAGCGCAUCGGAAACUGGGAAACUUGAGUGCAGAAGAGGACAGUGGAACUCCAUGUGUAGCGGUGAAAUGCGUAGAUAUAUGGAAGAACACCAGUGGCGAAGGCGGCUGUCUGGUCUGUAACUGACGCUGAGGCUCGAAAGCAUGGGUAGCGAACAGGAUUAGAUACCCUGGUAGUCCAUGCCGUANACGAUGAAUGCUAGGUGUUGGAGGGUUUCCGCCCUUCAGUGCCGCAGCUAGCGCAUUAAGCAUUCCGCCUGGGGAGUACGACCGCAAGGUUGAAACUCAAA